Molecule: signal recognition particle RNA, 300 nt
Filed under: Propithecus coquereli (Coquerel's sifaka)
Lineage: Eukaryota; Metazoa; Chordata; Mammalia; Primates; Indriidae
Description: Metazoan signal recognition particle RNA (ENSPCOG00000004561.1)
Rfam family: Metazoan signal recognition particle RNA
About the family: The signal recognition particle (SRP) is a universally conserved ribonucleoprotein.
Source: RNAcentral
GCUGGACGUUUUGGCACGCACGCCUGUAGUCCCAGCUACUCGGGAGGCUGAGGUGGGAGGAUCGCUUGAGCCCAGGAGUUCUGGGCUGUAGUGCGCUAUGCUGAUCGGGUGUCUGCACUAAGUUAGGCAUCAAUAUGGUGACUUCCCAGGAACAGGGGACCACCAGGUUGCCUAAGGAGGGGUGAACCAGCCCAGUCGGAAACAGAGCAGGUCAAAACUCUCAUGCUGAUCAAUAGUGGGAUCGCACCUGUGAAUAGCCACUGCACUCCAGCCUGGGCAACAUAGUGGGACCCGGUCUCU